GACGAACGCUGGCGGCGUGCUUAACACAUGCAAGUCGAACGCUGAAGCUCAGCGUUUGUUGGGUGGAUGAGUGGCGAAAGGGUGAGUAACACGUGAGUAACCUGCCCCCUUCUUUGGGGUAACGCCCGGAAACGGGUGCUAAUACUGGAUAUUCACUGCUCUUCGCAUGGGGGUUGGUGGAAAGGGUUUUUCUGGUGGGGGAUGGGCUCGCGGCCUAUCUGCUUGUUGGUGGGGUGAUGGCCUACCAAGGCUUUGACGGGUAGCCGGCCUGAGAGGGUGACCGGUCACAGUGGGACUGAGAUGCGGCCCAGACUCCUACGGGAGGCAGCAGGGGGGAAUAUUGCACAAUGGGCGCAAGCCUGAUGCAGCGACGCCGCGUGAGGGAUGGGGGCCUUCGGGUUGUGAGCCUCUUGCGCUCAUGGUCAAGCCGCAACAAUGGUUGUGGUGAGGGUAGUGGGUAAAGAAGCGCCGGCUAACUACGUG
Molecule: ribosomal RNA, 483 nt
Filed under: uncultured bacterium
Lineage: Bacteria
Description: partial 16S ribosomal RNA
Rfam family: Bacterial small subunit ribosomal RNA
Source: RNAcentral